CCUCCUCCCAGGACAAUCUGUUCUUGCAUUAAUGUGACCUUCCUUUCUACUUAGUGAAGCAGGAGCGGAAGAACAACAAGGAUAUUGAUGUGGGCAACCUGGGAAGAACACGUUCACUUCCAAAAACAGAAGCUAAUCAUUUAAUUUAAGGACCAGCAGCCUUUGGCAUGGAAGAACAAGAAAGCUGCAAUAGGAAGCAGCCCUCCAAGCUCAGCAGGAACUGGAAAUACCUCUAACACAAACCAUUUCUACACUACAGAAAACAUCUUGUUAUGAGUUCCAAAGGUCAUGCAGCCACAAGGGUGACCACACCUGACUUAAGGAAUAAUGCACCUAUUGUGUAAGAGCAGAAGUAAUCCUCACCCUCAGUUCUGUCUCGUUCUGUGCAUGACUUGGACUGACAAAUCUGAGAUACCAACUCAUUUGUGUUCCUGUGAGACAGACCACUGGUUGGCCCUGAGCUCUGUCCUACACCAGUCACAAGAGUUCAGACUGCCCUGCAGGGAGCCUGGUGCAGGCAGGGGAACACAGUGGAAAGCUGCAGCUGUUUGCCUUCAGCCUGAACCACACAGCACAAAGGAGAGAAGGAACCUUAUUGUGGUGAACUGCUGACUGACAGGACUGGGAGCGAGGAUGCUCCUAGUUUGGAGAAGCUGAAGGGUUAUUUUUCAACCAGAGUGGAAUCAACGCAUCAGACGGGUGAAGCUGAACCAUGGAACAG
Centrocercus urophasianus (Greater sage-grouse) is the source of this 721-nucleotide long non-coding RNA. RefSeq lists it as uncharacterized. The transcript is spliced from 3 exons. NCBI's taxonomy places the organism in Eukaryota, Metazoa, Chordata, Aves, Galliformes, Phasianidae. The record is from RefSeq and is a predicted model, not a curated record.